AUGGAAGUUACUGAACUGGUUUAAAAGCUUGACUAAAAAUACAACAUCCAGUGUAGAAAAUAUGUUUGAGUUUUAUAUGGGAAAUACUGUGUGGCUCCACUUACAAGGUGGACUUACUUUAGUUGUUGUUUGACUAAAGUGUUGAGCGUUUGCUUUGAUUUAAAAUUUUUAAUGUCACAAUUGCUAGUCUUGGUAGUCGAGAAUCAGUCUGCCAGGACCUUUGCUCCUGGACGGUGCCCGGCACACAUUGCACUAAACCCCUACGGUGCCUACGGGUGGUGGGCCUGCAGGAGGAUGGGCCCAUGUCCCUUUUUUGGGCUGUGCCCGGCCAGGCCCCAUGGACUAAGGCCCGGCCACCAGAUGCUCGCCCUCGAACACCUCCCUGGCUCCAGGGAGAGGCCCCGGUAACCCUCUCUCUGGCAGGGUGAACUGUUCCCUUGGUCUUGUACUUCUGAGGGGGUCACCCUUGGAUCUUCCAAGGGUGAGAAGUUCAGCCAUCCGGGAGGGGAUCAGAGUAGAGCCGCUGCUCCUCCACAUUGAAAGGAGCCAGUUGAGGUGGUUGGGGCAUGUCCCACUGGGAGGAGGCCUUUGGGUUUCCCCCGGAUAAGCUGGCAGAGGUGGCCGCGGAGAGGGAGGCCUGGACUUCUUUGCUAAGGCUGCUGCCCCACGAUUCAGCUCCGGAUAAGCGGAAGAAGAUGGAUGGAUGGAUUAAAAUUUCCAGGGAACACAUGACGUAGACUACUUUUGUGCUUAGGUUUGACUUAUUCUGGCACUACUAUUACACUAAAACGCUGCUAGCAUCUGUGCUAGCAGCAGCAACUGGUAGCAAGUCAUCAGUGACAGCAGCUCGUUUGUUUACUUACACCUAUAAAUACUGCUGCUUGCAGCAACAUUCAGUUCAAUUUUAUUUAUAUAGUACCAAAUCACAGCAACAGUCACCUCAACGCUCAACAUUCAGCAUUUUAUUCCCUAUAACAUCAAAAGUUGCAGUUUUUCUUAAAAUGUCAAUGGAAUUUUGAAACAAUAUCACCUACCCCUACUUAGUAAAUUCACCUUUGCAGGUUAUGUAAUACCUGCUGCAGGCUUUACACUCUCAUACUGGUCUACAUGUGACAGUUAUGCACGAAGAAAAGCCCUGACCCCCAAAGAAUAAGCUCUGCAGCAAAUGUGCACUCUGCAAGCUUCCAACUUUGAUUGUAAAUAGAGGACUGGCGUAGCUACCAGAGUGUCACCCAGUGGUUUGUUAAUUCUGACGUUUAGCUUCCAUCAACAUCUGUUUUUAUUUUUUAAAAGCCAGAUAUGAUGAUGUUUGGAUGUGAAGAAUGCAGGGUGGAAAGUUUCAAUCGAACAGAAGCUACUGUAGCCUGGUUAGCAUCCAAUGGCUAUACUGGAGUUUGACUUGUUAACAAGUCUGGUCAUACCCCUAGUAAUGAGUUAAAUUUUACAGUAGUCCUUAUGCUCUGCAGCUUCACUGAAUUGGGUACAUGAAUGGUUCCUCUGCUGCAGGUCCUGGUAAAGGCGACCCCGUAGCUCACAGCAGCUUUCCAGAUCACAAGAAAGACUCCAUCACUGCCAUCGCCAGCUGCAGUGGAGCGCUGGUUCUUUCAACAGAAACCUGUCCAGUGAGUCUGCCAGCACGGGAAACACGAGAUGUGAACAGGCCAAUUGCUAGCUGGUUAGCUACAGCUGAAUUUUCAAAAUAAGGGUUUGUCCACUCAAAACAAGAAUGGUGUCGAAGGGAUGAAAAAAAGCUUUAAAAAAAAGUCACCAGAUAAACUAGGUCAGCCAUUGAAGUAAAUCUAUACUAAUAAUCUAAAUUAUUAAACUAAAUCUUUUUUCCUUCUUUUCUUUUUUUUUUAAACCAGGUUGUAAACAUGUAAACGUGCUGAUUUUUCCUGUAUGGAGACUGACUCACCUUUGAAGACAGCCUCGAGUGGUCAUUGGAGGAAUUGCAGUUUUUGGUACAUUAGCUUCGGUUCAUUUUUCAGAUGCACUUGGCUUUAAAACUUUGCCAGUGUUUUAAAGAGGAAUAAAGGGCACUCAGAAAGUUUUUCAGAUCUUCAGGAUAAACUCAACGCAUUUUGGUGCGAAACACUGAAUGUACACAGAAAAGCAGGCGCGCAACCAAGAGGUUCACAGAUCUGCAGCCAAAGAGAGGUGGAAAAAACUUGCUAAUCUCUGAGGUGAUUAUUGGAAUUAGCAUUGAGGCUAACUGGAUUAUAUUGUUGUGGUGAACGAGCCUGCUGACCUUUCAACAUCAUGAAUGUCAUGUAAAAAUGAAUGAAAGUCACUUACAUGUUUUCACCACAGUGACUUCUUUUCAUCGUUCUAGGUUUACCAGGUAGCCCAAAUGUGCUCAGAAAAAGAAAAAGAAAAUCUCUGGCCCCUCCCACUUUGGGUUAACUCAACCAGUGAGAUCAUUUCUGGCUCCUGAACAUCUCCGCUUUUGAUGCAUGUUUGAAGAACUGAAAGUUCUCUUUGGAGGAGAAGGAGAAGAGUAGGAGUUGGUUGUGGUUGAGGUGGGAAGGAAGGAGGGAGGGAGACUCAUCCACCCUCACCCGUUCGAUAUCCGUUUGACCGAUCCCCUCGGACUGUCUGAUGUUCCUCCUGUCAUUUCCCCUUUUUCAUGUCACCUGACUCCCAACCCAUCCCUGCCUAUAAACCCCGCCCUGCUCUGACCCUCGCCCGGUGUCGAUGUUUCUUUUUUGUAUUUCUUUUAUAUAUGAGAACACAAUAAAAAGGGGUCUAAUUUUUUAUACAAACC
This is a long non-coding RNA of Astatotilapia calliptera (eastern happy), 2764 nucleotides long. The record is from Ensembl. NCBI's taxonomy places the organism in Eukaryota, Metazoa, Chordata, Actinopteri, Cichliformes, Cichlidae.